This is a long non-coding RNA of Patella vulgata (common limpet), 456 nucleotides long. RefSeq lists it as uncharacterized. The record is from RefSeq and is a predicted model, not a curated record. NCBI's taxonomy places the organism in Eukaryota, Metazoa, Mollusca, Gastropoda, Patellidae. The transcript has 3 exons.
AACUCCAAUUUUCAGAUACGAAACUAUGACCUUGACGGCUUUGUAAAGAAACAGCUUUCUUUUCAGAACACCAUUUACUUUUUCGGCGUGUCGGUAGAUCCUCUUUCGGUCAAAAAUGUCUACGUUUUGGAGACAAGUAGGAAUGAAUUAUAUUGAGUAUUCAGCAAUAUGUUCACGUAUAGUUAAACAAUGUUUAAAACCAGAAUUCAGACCUGCCGAUGUCCCACUGGUAUCCGCCAUCAAAGUGACCAAAUGGGUUGAAGGAAAACCAGUUGCAGAUGCAGGACAGGCAAGUGCACCGAAAUGAUGACCGACGACUAGAAGACCAAGUUAUAUGAACUUUAAUGGAGAUAAUUAUCAUCUCAUGUAUAUAAUAGGAACAAUAUUUACCAUCCAGUGUUAUUUAAAUACUUUUAGAAGUAAAAAAUGUUUGAAAUAAAAUGAGUGUUAAUUUGA